This 443-nucleotide ribosomal RNA is filed under the name uncultured bacterium. RNAcentral describes it as "partial 16S ribosomal RNA". It matches the Rfam family "Bacterial small subunit ribosomal RNA", at positions 338 to 795 of the family's 1533-position model. The record is from RNAcentral.
CCUACGGGAGGCUGCAGUGGGGAAUAUUGGGCAAUGGAGGAAACUCUGACCCAGCAACGCCGCGUGAAUGAUGAAGGUCUUCGGAUUGUAAAGUUCUUUUCUAAGGGAAGAAGAAAGUGAAGGUAUCUUAGGAAUAAGCCUCGGAUAACUACGUGACAGCAGCCGCGGUAAUACGUUGGAGGCGAGCGUUAUCCGGAAUGACUGGGCGUAAAGGGUGCGUAGGUGGUUUGGCAAGUUAGUUGGGUAACUCCAAGGCUCAACCGUGGAACUACUACUAAAACUGUUGGACUUGAGUGCGGGAGGGGCAACCGGAAUUCCUGGUGUAGCGGUGGAAUGCGUAGAUAUUAGGAAGAACACCAGUGGCGAAGGCGUGUUGCUAGACUGUAACUGACACUGAGGCACGAAAGCGUGGGGAGCAAACAGGAUUAGAUACCCUUGUAGUC